Molecule: long non-coding RNA, 368 nt
Filed under: Physcomitrium patens
Lineage: Eukaryota; Viridiplantae; Streptophyta; Bryopsida; Funariales; Funariaceae
Description: long non-coding RNA (PPAT_LNC011474)
Source: RNAcentral
ACUCUUAUCAAAUUAAUAGACUUCAAUUAAAUCCUAGAUAAAUUUUAAUAGAAUUCAAUCAAACCCUAAACAAACACUAAAUCCUAAACCAAAUCUUAACCAAAUCUUAAAUCCUAAAUCAAAUCCUAGAUAAAUCUUAAAUCCUAACCCAAACUUUAGAUAAAUCCUAAAUCUUAAAUCAAACCUUAGAAAAAUCCUAAUCAAAUCCUAAUCAAAUCAUAAAUCUUAAACUAAAUCCUAACCAAAUCCUAAACCCUAAACCAAAUUUUAACCAAUCCUAAAGUCUGAACCAAAUCCUAAGGUAUUUUAGAACCUCAAUAACUUUUGAUUAAAUCAUUGAUCUUAUUUAAAACUUUACACAUCUCUCA